This is a non-coding RNA of Oryctolagus cuniculus (rabbit), 1189 nucleotides long. The record is from RefSeq and is a predicted model, not a curated record. NCBI's taxonomy places the organism in Eukaryota, Metazoa, Chordata, Mammalia, Lagomorpha, Leporidae.
AGCUGGAGGAUUAGCCUAAUGAGCCGCGGCGCCGGCCCAAAAAAAUCUUUAGUUGGGGGUCAUCACUGCGCUAAAGCUGUGUGCUUGUGAUAUCUGCAUCCCAUAUUGGAGUACCAGUUCAAGUCCUAGUUGCUCCAUUUCUGGUCUAGCUCCCUGCUGCUGUACCUGGGGAAUUAAAAAAGGCUCAACUACUUGAAACUGCCAUCCACAUGGGAGACGGGGAUGGAGUUUGAGCUCCAGGUUUUGGCCUGGCAAAGUGCAGUUCAUUAUGUUCAUUUGGGGAAGUGAACUAGAGUUAGAGGAGUUCUCUCUGUCUUUGUCCUUCUGUCUUUCAAAAAUAAAUAAAAAAGUCUUUAAAGCAGAUUAAAAUCCUUAUAUGAUGAUAAUUUCAGUUUGUUUUCCAUGUUUCAUUUCUGAAUUCAGCUUUUACUUUUUAAAUUUUUCUUUUUUAAUAUUAACAUUUCAUAUACUCUGAUACUUUUAAUCUUCUCUAUCCACAGGUGGAAUACCAUCCCCAUCUCAAUCAGAGCAAACUGCUGGAUUUCUGAAAAUCAAAAUAUGUUGUUCUGGUUGCCUAUGGUGCUCUGGGAUCAAGUCAAGAUCCAAAAUGGUGUUUGAAUUUCAGUUGUCUUCAGAGGACAUGAAAGCUCUGGAUGGCCCGAACAAAAAUCUUCACUAUUAUCCAGCUGAUAUCUUUAUUGGACACCCAAAUUGCCCACAUUCUGAUGAAUAUGAAUGUGGAGACCUUUCCCAUGAUUCUGCUGCAAGUUCUCCCACAUGUGUCAUGGGGCAGGAGACGUCCCAGAUGCUGGUGACUGGGCAACUCUCUUCUGGUUAAUCUAUGCUGCGUAGCAACUGACCCUCAGCUGGAGCUGUGUCUGCUGGGUAUAAAGUCAUGGCUACAACUUUUUCUCAUUACAGAAAAUAAUAUAAUCUUGUUGUAUUGAAGACUUUUACCUACUGCUGAUUUUAUUUCUCACCUGCUUUCUUUCAUUCUGAUUCAUUAGUUCCUCAAACUGAUUUUCCUAGAAGUCUGUGGACUGUGGUGAGAGAUGAUAACGGACAGCCCACAGAUGUUGCUGGGAUUCAUGUGCGAAGCACUGUCAGUCUGUAGAGCAGUUAACAAAGACUUUUCACACAUGGCUUCUCCAAUGCUUCCCGGAACAAGAAAAUUCACUGUAUAAAUCCC